GACGAACGCUGGCGGCGCGCUUAACACAUGCAAGUCGAACGGAAAGGCCUGCUUUCCCUUGUGGAUUGCGGGUACUCGAGUGGCGAACGGGUGAGUAACACGUGAGUGAUCUGCCCCCAACUUGGGUAUAAGCCUGGGAAACUGGGUCUAAUUCCCGAUAGGACUGCAGGGUGGUGCCUGUGGUGGAAAACGAUUUUCUAGUGGUUGGGGAUGAGCUCGCGGCCUAUCAGCUUGUUGGUGGGGUAAUGGCCUACCAAGGCGGCGACGGGUAGCCGGCCUGGGAGGGUGGACCGGCAAAGUGGGACUGAGACACGGCCCAGACUCCUACGGGAGGCAGCAGUGGGGAGUAAUGCGCAGUGGGCGGAAGCCUGAGGCAGCGACGCCGCGUGGGGGAUGACGGCCUUCGGGUGGUAAACUCCUUUCGACAGCGAGGAAGCCACCUGGAUGGAAGGGUGGUGACGGUAGUGGUAGAAGAAGCACCGGCUAACUACGUG
Molecule: ribosomal RNA, 494 nt
Filed under: uncultured bacterium
Lineage: Bacteria
Description: partial 16S ribosomal RNA
Rfam family: Bacterial small subunit ribosomal RNA
Source: RNAcentral